AUUGUUGUAAUAAAAAUUAUGUCUUUCCUGCCAUAUUAUAUAUUUAGGAAAA
RNAcentral lists this small RNA (52 nucleotides) under Arabidopsis thaliana (thale cress). RNAcentral's name for it is "ATSL253360". Lineage: Eukaryota; Viridiplantae; Streptophyta; Magnoliopsida; Brassicales; Brassicaceae. The record is from RNAcentral.